AGUGGGGGAGGGGUCAAGAAGGGAGGUUACUAGGAAGGGCUACAGGGCCCCCAACCCACUGCAUCCUGCCCUGCCAGGAUCCCCGACGCUACGAGGAGUGGAAGUGGUUCCGCUGCCCCACGCUGCUGGAGGUGCUGGAGCAGUUCCCGUCGGUGGCACUGCCUGCCCCACUGCUCCUCACCCAGCUGCCUCUGCUCCAGCCCCGGUACUACUCAGUCAGCUCAGCACCCAGCACCCACCCAGGAGAGAUCCACCUCACUGUAGCUGUGCUGGCAUACAGGACCCAGGGUGAGGCAAUGAGCAGGAGCAGGCCUGGCCACAGCAGGGGUGGGACCGGCCCCUCUCUGGCCCCUCACCGGCCUCUCCUUCCCACCCCCAGAUGGGCUGGGCCCCCUGCACUAUGGAGUCUGCUCCACGUGGCUAAGCCAACUUAAGCCUGGAGACCCUGUGCCCUGCUUCAUCCGGGGGGCUCCCUCCUUCCGGCUGCCACCCGAUCUCAGCUUGCCCUGCAUCCUGGUGGGCCCAGGCACUGGCAUUGCCCCCUUCCGGGGAUUCUGGCAGGAGCGGCUGCAUGACAUUGAGAGCAAAGGGCUGCAGCCCACUCCCAUGACUUUGGUGUUCGGCUGCCGAUGCUCCCAACUCGACCAUCUCUACCGCGACGAGGUGCAGAACGCCCAGCAGCGCGGGGUGUUUGGCCGAGUCCUCACCGCCUUCUCCCGGGAACCUGACAACCCCAA
Molecule: small RNA, 737 nt
Filed under: Pongo abelii (Sumatran orangutan)
Lineage: Eukaryota; Metazoa; Chordata; Mammalia; Primates; Hominidae
Description: processed transcript
Source: RNAcentral